Gossypium raimondii (Peruvian cotton) is the source of this 778-nucleotide long non-coding RNA. RefSeq lists it as uncharacterized. The record is from RefSeq and is a predicted model, not a curated record. The transcript has 3 exons. NCBI's taxonomy places the organism in Eukaryota, Viridiplantae, Streptophyta, Magnoliopsida, Malvales, Malvaceae.
CCGUAAAAUUAAUUUAAUUUUUUUAAAACAAAACCGCGAUCAAUCAUUCUAACAUAACAGUGUGUUUGGUUCAGUGUAAUAGGUAAUCCAUUACGCCCCGAUUACGCGUCUAUUACAUUAACGACCUAUUCCGACAUUUGGUUAGCUGUAAUAGGUAUUACGCGCGUAUUACAAUCCCGACCUAAUCCUCAAAUUCCCUGCUUUUCUAUUCCCUUCCCAACUCUCUGUUUUACCCACCCGACCCACCCGACCCUCUCCUUUUUCUGUCCUCAUCAUUUCUCCUCGCCUGCCUUUACCGAUUCUCUCUGUCGAUCAUUUUUUCCCUUUCAUUUGUUGCAGCACGUUUGAAAGCCACUGCUUCAUUUUUUUCUCUCGGUCUCGGCGUGAGAUCUUCAGUUCAACUAAUAGGCAGAGUCUCUUUUUGAACUGAUUGCUUCACUUCAUCGUCCCCAAAUUUCAGAUUUGGAUCUUGCAAAUUAGAGAUAAUUCGCAAGAGGAACUAUGAGUUGCUUUGGCUGUUGUGAAGAGGAUGGCAUCUUGUGACAAAAUUUGCAAAUUUUAUGCUCUUGGGUUGUUUUUACAUUUAAAUCAUAUGGCAUAUUAUAUUUAUGGUUUAGGGAUACUGCCUUUGAGUCUUCUUUUUUUGGUUUGAUAUGGCCAGUUCUAGUUGCUGGAGUGCAGACCUGCGCCAGGCUCCAUGCCUGAUUGUUCUUGCUUAUUCUUCAUUGUAAUGAAAUUAUAACUAAAACUUUAAUUGAGGUACAAAGCUAUUGGACUA